AAGAUUUUAAGUUAAAUAAACUAUGAACCUUCAAAGUUUAAAAUGUAAAGGUCAAGUCUUG
This 61-nucleotide transfer RNA is filed under the name Balala fujiana. RNAcentral's name for it is "tRNA-Trp". Lineage: Eukaryota; Metazoa; Arthropoda; Insecta; Hemiptera; Cicadellidae. The record is from RNAcentral.